AUUGAACGUUGGCGGCAUGCCUAACACAUGCAAGUCGAACGAGUGGCGGACGGGUGAGUAAUGUCUGGGAAACUGCCCGAUGGAGGGGGAUAACUACUGGAAACGGUAGCUAAUACCGCAUACCAUCGGAUGUGCACAGAUGGGAUUUGCUAGUAGGUGGGGUAAAGGCUCACCUAGGCGACGAUACCUAGCUGGUUUGAGAGGAUGACCAGCCACACUGGAACUGAGACACGGUCCAGACUCCUACGGGAGGCAGCAGUGGGGAAUAUUGCACAAUGGGAGAAAGCCUGAUGCAGCCAUCCCGCGUGUAUGAAGAAGGCCUUCGGGUUGUAAAGUACUGUCAGCGAGGAGGCGUUACUCGCAGAAGAAGCACCGGCUAACUCCGUGCCAGCCGCCGCGGUAAUUC
This 406-nucleotide ribosomal RNA is filed under the name uncultured bacterium. RNAcentral's name for it is "partial 16S ribosomal RNA". It matches the Rfam family "Bacterial small subunit ribosomal RNA", at positions 30 to 526 of the family's 1533-position model. The record is from RNAcentral.